This 215-nucleotide unclassified non-coding RNA is filed under the name Hevea brasiliensis (rubber tree). Lineage: Eukaryota; Viridiplantae; Streptophyta; Magnoliopsida; Malpighiales; Euphorbiaceae. The record is from RNAcentral.
AUUAAAUUCCUUUCAGAUAGUUUCCUAUUUCCUUGUUAUUUUUCGCUUUAAUAAUCGUCAAACUACAAUUUAUGAAUUCAAAAUGCUUGAUGACAAAAAGUUUAGAAACUAUUUCCUAGAUUUGGUUGCCAAGAAAGUGAAAGAAUGGAUACAAAAGAUUAUUAUAUCCAAUUCUAAUUAGUUUAAAACUGAGACCUAGUUGACACAUGUUCAGC